GCCGAGCUUGGUAACGCUAGCUUGUAACCUGUGUGGGGGCUUUAAGGUGAUGGAACAUGGGGCUGGCUUGCAGAGUCGGAUCUUGAGUUGGUCCAAAUCUGGCUUGCCCGUUCCAAGCUAAGAGCUGAACUGAGGGGCUUGAGUGAAAACUUUGAGCCUCGUGGUUCCUAGAGUGGAGGGUACUGCGUGAGGCUGGUUUCACAGAGCAGCGAAGACCUCCCUCUCUUAGCAGUGGAAGGAUAACAGGCUUGAUCUUAGUAAUAAAUUUGGAUUUAUAAUAGGAUUAAAAAGAUAAAAUAUGUCU
Gossypium arboreum is the source of this 304-nucleotide non-coding RNA. It matches the Rfam family "Plant signal recognition particle RNA". NCBI's taxonomy places the organism in Eukaryota, Viridiplantae, Streptophyta, Magnoliopsida, Malvales, Malvaceae. The record is from Rfam.